CCUGGUUGAUUCUGCCAGUAGUCAUAUGCUUGUCUCAAAGAUUAAGCCAUGCAUGUCUAAGUAUAAGCAAUUAUACCGCGAAACUGCGAAUGGCUCAUUAUAUAAGUUAUCGUUUAUUUGAUAGUACCUUACUACUUGGAUAACCGUGGUAAUUCUAGAGCUAAUACAUGCUAAAAAUCCCGACUUCGGAAGGGAUGUAUUUAUUAGAUUAAAAACCAAUGCCCUUCGGGGCUCACUGGUGAUUCAUAAUAACUUCUCGAAUCGCAUGGCCUUGCGCCGGCGAUGGUUCAUUCAAAUUUCUUCCCUAUCAACUUUCGAUGCUAGAGUAGUGUUCUAGCAUGGUUACAACGGGUAACGGAGGGUUAGGGCUCGACCCCGGAGAGGGAGCCUGAGAAACGGCUACCACAUCCAAGGAAGGCAGCAGGCGCGCAAAUUACCCAAUCCCGACUCGGGGAGGUAGUGACGAUAAAUACUGAUACAGGGCUCUUUUGGGUCUUGUAAUUGGAAUGAGUACAAUUUAAAUCCCUUAACGAGGAACAAUUGGAGGGCAAGUCUGGUGCCAGCAGCCGCGGUAAAUUCCAGCUCCAAUAGCGUAUAUUAAAGUUGUUGUGGUUAAAAAGCUCGUAGUAGAACCUUGGGCCUGGCUGGCCGGUCCGCCUCACCGCGUGUACUGGUCCGGCCGGGCCUUUCCCUCUGUGGAACCGCAUGUCCUUCACUGGAUGUGUCGGGGAAACAGGACUUUUACUUUGAAAAAAUUAGAGUGCUCCAGGCAGGCCUAUGCUCGAAUACAUUAGCAUGGAAUAAUAAAAUAGGACGUGUGGUUCUAUUUUGUUGGUUUCUAGGACCGCCGUAAUGAUUAAUAGGGACAGUCGGGGGCAUCAGUAUUCAAUUGUCAGAGGUGAAAUUCUUGGAUUUAUUGAAGACUAACUACUGCGAAAGCAUUUGCCAAGGAUGUUUUCAUUUAUCAGGAACGAAAGUUAGGGGAUCGAAGACGAUCAGAUACCGUCGUAGUCUUAACCAUAAACUAUG
RNAcentral lists this ribosomal RNA (1029 nucleotides) under Reticulascus tulasneorum. RNAcentral describes it as "SSU rRNA". It matches the Rfam family "Eukaryotic small subunit ribosomal RNA", at positions 3 to 1041 of the family's 1831-position model. Lineage: Eukaryota; Fungi; Ascomycota; Sordariomycetes; Glomerellales; Reticulascaceae. The record is from RNAcentral.